RNAcentral lists this ribosomal RNA (536 nucleotides) under uncultured bacterium. Its description in RNAcentral is "bacterial SSU rRNA". It matches the Rfam family "Bacterial small subunit ribosomal RNA", at positions 355 to 895 of the family's 1533-position model. The record is from RNAcentral.
UGAGGAAUAUUGGUCAAUGGACGAGAGUCUGAACCAGCCAAGUAGCGUGCAGGAUGACGGCCCUAUGGGUUGUAAACUGCUUUUGUAUGGGGAUAAAGUCAAUCACGUGUGAUUGUUUGCAGGUACCAUACGAAUAAGGACCGGCUAAUUCCGUGCCAGCAGCCGCGGUAAUACGGAAGGUCCGGGCGUUAUCCGGAUUUAUUGGGUUUAAAGGGAGCGUAGGCCGGAGAUUAAGUGUGUUGUGAAAUGUAGACGCUCAACGUCUGACUUGCAGCGCAUACUGGUUUCCUUGAGUACGCACAACGUUGGCGGAAUUCGUCGUGUAGCGGUGAAAUGCUUAGAUAUGACGAAGAACUCCGAUUGCGAAGGCAGCUGACGGGAGCGCAACUGACGCUUAAGCUCGAAGGUGCGGGUAUCGAACAGGAUUAGAUACCCUGGUAGUCCGCACAGUAAACGAUGGAUGCUCGCUGUUGGUACCUGGUAUCAGCGGCUAAGCGAAAGCAUUAAGCAUCCCACCUGGGGAGUACGCCGACGGU